AUGACUUGGAGGAAUGAAUGAAUGAUGAGUGAAUGAGCUCUUUGAUCUUCUCUUGGUGCCGGGCAGGGCAGAGAGUGUAAUCCCCAUUUUACCGAGGCUGGGAGGGAGAAGUGCCUCUCCCAUGAUCACACACAUUUCAGGCUGGCCCACCUGUCCAGCUGGCGGGUUCAUGCGGGGCUGGUCAGCCACAGUGCCGUCAGGCCCCAUCAAGGGGCUGUGGUGGAGAGGAUUAUCCCACACCCCCUCUACAGUGCCCAGAAUCAUGACUACGAUGUCGCCCUCCUGAGGCUCCAGACCCCUCUCAACUUCUCAGACACUGUGGGCGCUGUGUGCCUGCCGGCCAAGGAGCAGCAUUUUCCGAAGGGCUCGCGGUGCUGGGUGUCUGGCUGGGGCCACACCCACCCUAGCCAUACUUACAGCUCGGAUAUGCUCCAGGACACGGUGGUGCCCCUGCUCAGCACUCAGCUCUGCAACAGCUCUUGCGUGUACAGCGGAGCCCUCACCCCCCGCAUGCUUUGUGCUGGCUACCUGGACGGAAGGGCUGAUGCAUGCCAGG
This 556-nucleotide small RNA is filed under the name Pan troglodytes (chimpanzee). Its description in RNAcentral is "processed transcript". Lineage: Eukaryota; Metazoa; Chordata; Mammalia; Primates; Hominidae. The record is from RNAcentral.